Molecule: unclassified non-coding RNA, 226 nt
Filed under: soil metagenome
Description: partial contains small subunit ribosomal RNA, internal transcribed spacer 1, and 5.8S ribosomal RNA
Source: RNAcentral
UUUCCGUAGGUGAACCUGCGGAAGGAUCAUUAUAGAGGGGGCGGUAACACCCGCCCGCAUACCAGAUAGAGAGUGGCACCCUUUGCCCUUUUUCGAGCACCGUACGUUUUCCCCGGCGGGGACGCUCGCCGCUGGGAACAAUCCAAACCCUUUUGCAGUACAGCAGUACUUGUCUGAGAAGCGAAGCAAUCAAUUAAAACUUUCAACAACGGAUCUCUUGGUUCUG